UCCCAGACUCCUACGGGAGGCAGCAGUAGGGAAUUUUCGUCAAUGGGGGGAACCCUGAACGAGCAAUGCCGCGUGAGUGAAGAAGGUUUUCGGAUCGUAAAGCUCUGUUGUAAGAGAAAAAGGGUGAUAACAGGAAAUGGUUAACACUUGAUGGUAUCUUACGAGGAAGCCACGGCUAACUACGUGCCAGCAGCCGCGGUAAUACGUAGGUGGCGAGCGUUAUCCGGAAUGAUUGGGCGUAAAGGGUGCGCAGGCGGUUGUAUAAGUCUGAAGUAAAAGCCAUCGGCUCAACCGAUGUAAGCUUUGGAAACUGUGUAACUAGAGUGCAGGAGAGGGCAGUGGAAUUCCAUGUGUAGCGGUAAAAUGCGUAGAUAUAUGGAGGAACACCAGUGGCGAAGGCGGCUGCCUGGCCUGUAACUGACGCUGAGGCACGAAAGCGUGGGGAGCAAAUAGGAUUAGAUACCCGCGUAUUG
This 473-nucleotide ribosomal RNA is filed under the name uncultured bacterium. RNAcentral describes it as "bacterial SSU rRNA". It matches the Rfam family "Bacterial small subunit ribosomal RNA", at positions 329 to 793 of the family's 1533-position model. The record is from RNAcentral.